Molecule: RNA transcript, 3375 nt
Organism: Triticum aestivum (bread wheat)
Lineage: Eukaryota; Viridiplantae; Streptophyta; Magnoliopsida; Poales; Poaceae
Gene name: probable inactive leucine-rich repeat receptor-like protein kinase At3g03770
Exons: 9
Source: RefSeq, a predicted model, not a curated record
AUCAUUCUGAGAGCAAAGAAUCCGUCUUGUCCCUUUGCCCCGCGGUUGUGCAAUCCCGUGAUGCCCCGCCUACCGCUGCUCUGCCACAGUGGAGUAUACUAGUAGUACUGAGCAGAGUAGAGUACUAGACGACACUAAGCAUAUGAUUCCCUCCCUUGACAAAUCCCCAAAACUAAAAAAGCUUUUUCAAGCUGUUCCAUUCACUUCACUUGCACGCACUCAUCUCAUUAUCAUCAUUCAAAGGUGUGGUGAGUUCUUCAAGAAAGGAAUGCAAAUCUGGUGAUGUUUCUUGAGGGAGAGCAUCUUGUUCUUGCUUGCUUUGCGGUGUCAAGGACGGACCACUCAGUCGGUCAGGCCAGGCCAGGCCAGAUCCCUGUGCGGACUGCACAAUGUUUUUCUGGUGACCAGUACCUAUCUCCAUUAACUCUUCUUGAUCCAGGAAGAAGCUGAAAGAAAUCUUGUAAAAAAUGGGUGGCCAUGCUCUGCUCAUCUUGCUGUCGGUGGCGUCCCUGGCAUUGCUGCCGGGAGCCACGCCGCUGCAGCCCUCACAGGCCUGGUCCCUCUUCAAGCUCCGGCAGCUCCUGGGCGACCCGCCGGUGCUCGGCACCUGGCACAACUACACCGACUUCUGCUACGGCGGCGACUACAAGACCGCCUCCGCCUUCGUCGAGUGCUACGAGGACAGCGUCACGCAGCUCCACAUCAUGGGCGACCCCGGGGCCGGGGCGCGCCCGCUCCCCGCCACCUUCUCCAUCGACGCCUUCUUCACCACGCUGUCCAGGCUGCCGGAUCUCAAGGUGCUCACGCUCACCAACCUCGGCCUCUGGGGGCCACUGCCGGGGAAGAUCUCCCGCCUCCAGAAGCUGGAGAUCGUCAACGUCAGCUCCAACUACCUCUACGGCGAGCUCCCGCGGGGGCUCUCCCAGCUCGGCAGCCUCCAGACGCUGGUCGCGGACCACAACAUGCUGGGAGGCAAGCUGCCGGGGUGGCUCAAGGACAUGCCGCUGCUGGCGGUCCUCAGCCUCCGGAACAACAUGCUGCAGGGGACGCUGCCGGAGUCGCUCAAGGACAUGCUGUCGCUGAGGUCGCUGGUGCUGGCGUCCAACAACCUCUCCGGGAAUCUGCCGGACCUCAAGAACCUCCAGGUGAUUGACAUGGCCAACAACGCGCUAGGGCCCAAGUUCCCGCGGCUGGGGCGGAAGGUGGCCAGCGUGGUGCUCGCCGGCAACAAGUUCAGCGACGGCCUCCCCGCCGACAUGCUCGCCUCGUGCUACCUCCUGGAGCGGCUGGACGUGUCGGGGAACAGGUUCGUGGGGCCUUUCCCGGCGGCGCUGCUGUCGCUGCCGUCCAUGGAGUACCUGAGCAUCGCCGGGAACAGGUUCACCGGGCGGCUCUCGGGCAACGCCUCCUGCGGCGAGAACCUCCGGUUCGUGGACCUCUCGUCGAACCUCCUGACGGGGAGCCUCCCCGGCUGCCUGCUGGCCGCCCCCGGCAAGAGCGUGCUCUUCUCGGCCAACUGCCUUUCCACAGCCGGCGACGACUCCCAGUCCCAGCACCCGUCGCCCUUCUGCCGGAACCAGGCAUUGGCCGUCGGGAUCGUGCCUGAGCAGGGACACAAGAAGAGUGGCGCCAAGGCCGGUGUGGUGGCCGGCAUUGUCCUUGUGGGAGCAUUGGUCGUGAGCGCGGCGGUGGUGUUUGUGGUGAGGAAGGCGAGCGCGCCCAAGGCGAGGCCUGCACGGAGACUGGUGGAGAACGCGUCGAGCGCUUACCCUUCGAAUUUGCUGGCCGACGCGCGUUACAUAUCUCAGACGGUGAAGCUGGGGGCUCUUGGCAUUCCGGCAUACAGAUCAUUCUCCUUGGUGGAGCUGGAGGCGGCCACCGAUAACUUCCAGGUGUCUAGCCUCAUGGGGCAAGAUGCUCAUGGCCAGAUGUACCGUGGACGGCUAAGCAAUGGGACCCCGGUGACAAUCAGGUCCCUCAAGGUGAACAAGAGCCAGAGCUUCACCCGCCACAUCGAGAUGAUAUCCAAGCUGAGGCAUCGGCACCUGGUGAGCGCGCUGGGGCACUGCUUCCAGUACAACCUCGACGAUUCCACCGUCACGCACCUCUACCUCGUCUUCGAAUACGUGCACAAUGGCAACCUCAGGGGCAGGAUUUCACAAGGAACGGAAGGCCGGAGGCUGUCGUGGGGCCAAAGAAUAUCGACCGCCAUUGGUGUGGCCAAGGGCAUUCAGUUCCUGCAUGGAGGGAUCAUACCAGGCCUGUUUGCGAAUAACCUCAAGAUCACCAACAUUCUUAUGGACCAGAAUCAGGUCCCCAAAAUCGGCAGCUACAACAUCCCCAUUCUGUCAGAGACCAUGAAAUCAGAGGGAGGAGCUGGAAGCAAGUAUCCACCGGAUAGGGUUCCGAAUGGCGAUAAGAUUGACAUGUACGAUUUUGGUGUGAUACUGCUGGAGGUUAUCUCCGGCAGGCCCAUCAGUUCCAUAUACGAGGUGGAGAUGAUGAAAGAACAGGUUCGUUUCCUUUCCUUUCCUUGUAUUCUUGCUAAUAGUAUAUUAUAUACUACUCCCUCUGUCCCAAAAUAUAAGAACGUUUUUGACACUCCACUAUCGUUAAAAAUGCUCUUAUAUUAUGAGACGGAGGGAGUACAUAGUAGAGCGAGUUGUAAUCGGAAAAAGUUUGUGGAUCGAAAAAGUUGCAAUCGGCGCUGACAGCACAAGGACCGAGCAAGAGGAGCAACUUGGUGGACCCGGCGGUCAGCAAGGGCUGCUCCGACGACUCCAUGAGGACCGUCAUGGAGGUCUGCCUCGGCUGCCUGGCCAAGGAGCCAACGCAGAGGCCCUCAGUGGAGGACGUGCUCUGGAACCUGCAGUUUGCGGCCCAGGUGCAGGAUGGCUCACGACGCAGCAGCGAGGAGUCCCCGCUCUCGCCCUCGCAGCCCCAUGCACAAUCCGCACACGACUCACCGACCCACCGCUAGGGCUCACAAAAAUGCAUUGCCAAGCAUCAUCAUGGAUUCAUGGCUCAAGGCAAGGAUACAAGUGUACAGCAGCUCAAGCUGGACCCCGUGAUGCAUAUAGAGUUUUCGCCAAGACGCCACUGGAUAUGAUGAGUUUUCAACUUCUCAAAUUAAGUAGAACCGACUUUUUCUUUUUCUUCUUCUUCUUCUUCUUUCGAGAAAUCUCCAAUAGAACGACUAGUAACCAUAAUCUCGUUAUGGAUUGGAAUGCACUCCCAUAAAACCAUUAUUUGUUCCCACAGUGUCCGGAAAAUUCCACUUUGUCUAGUCUAGAAAUACAAAUUUGUAUGGUUUUCGAGAACCGGAUAUUGUAAUAUUCCAAUGCAUAUUAUAUCUAAAAAUAAUGUUGCUACUCC